ACACGGAAGUUAAGCUCUCCAGCGCCGAUGGUAGUUGGGGCCAGCGCCCCUGCAAGAGUAGGUCGUUGCUAGGC
This 74-nucleotide ribosomal RNA is filed under the name Parageobacillus toebii. Lineage: Bacteria; Bacillati; Bacillota; Bacilli; Caryophanales; Anoxybacillaceae. The record is from RNAcentral.